CAAUAGCGUAUAUUAAAGUUGUUGCGGUAAAAAAGCUCGUAGUUGGAUUUCUGUUGCGAAUGGCCGGUCUUCACUGCGUGAAUGUAUCUGGUUCAAUCGUGGCAUCCUCAUGGGAAACGUUGCUGCGCUUCACUGCGUGGUGCGGUGCCCAUGACUUUUACUUUGAGGAAAUUAGAGUGUUCACGGCAGGCAUACGCCCUGAAUAUGUUAGCAUGGAAUAAUAAUAUAGGAUCUUGGUUCUAUUUUGUUGGUUUCUAGAGCUAAGAUAAUGGUUAAUAGGAACAAUUGGGGGCAUUUGUAUUAACAUGUCAGAGGUGGAAUUCUUGGAUUAUGUUACGACAAACUACUGCGAAAGCAUUUGCCAAGGAUGUUUUCAUUGA
This 380-nucleotide ribosomal RNA is filed under the name uncultured eukaryote. RNAcentral's name for it is "partial 18S ribosomal RNA". It matches the Rfam family "Eukaryotic small subunit ribosomal RNA", at positions 592 to 976 of the family's 1831-position model. The record is from RNAcentral.